RNAcentral lists this ribosomal RNA (253 nucleotides) under uncultured bacterium. Its description in RNAcentral is "partial 16S ribosomal RNA". It matches the Rfam family "Bacterial small subunit ribosomal RNA", at positions 524 to 776 of the family's 1533-position model. The record is from RNAcentral.
UACGGAGGGUGCAAGCGUUGUCCGGAUUUAUUGGGUUUAAAGGGUGCGUAGGCGGCCCGUUAAGUCAGUGGUGAAAGCCUCCAGCUCAACUGGAGAACUGCCAUUGAUACUGGCGGGCUUGAGUACAGACGAGGUAGGCGGAAUUGAUUGUGUAGCGGUGAAAUGCAUAGAUACAAUCAAGAACACCGAUUGCGUAGGCAGCUUACUAGGCUGUAACCGACGCUGAGGCACGAAAGCGUGGGGAGCGAACAGG